GUCCCUGAAGCGCAAUGGAAAGCACGUUGGAGCACUAAUUCAGAGGUCAUGGGUUCAAAUCCCACCAGGGAUG
Non-coding RNA from Trichonephila inaurata madagascariensis, 73 nucleotides. Lineage: Eukaryota; Metazoa; Arthropoda; Arachnida; Araneae; Nephilidae. The record is from the annotation of a GenBank genome assembly.